CACAACAACCUCCCCCUUUUAUUCUAUUUUUCAUUCUGUUUUCCCCCCCCCCCUUGCUCUCACUCUAUUUAACCUUCUGCCGGAGCUUUGGGACUGGCUGUGUGCCCUCUGCAAGUGCAGCAAACCCACCGUAGUGAACCGGUGGCCCUGACAGAGAGCAGAAGCAGGCUGCAUGCAUCUCCUUGUGAUGGAGCUGGCAGAGAAAAUCGGACACUGGGACAAACAACCAUAAAUCAGGACUGUCCUGAUUAAAUCAGGCAUGGCUGGCAAGAUUCAGAGCCAGCUACAGUUGGGAAGUCUGAAGGAAAGUCAUCGUCUUUCCAGUAAUUCCAGCUCCAGUUUGUUCGGUCU
This 351-nucleotide long non-coding RNA is filed under the name Dromaius novaehollandiae (emu). RNAcentral's name for it is "lncRNA (ENSDNVG00000011010.1)". Lineage: Eukaryota; Metazoa; Chordata; Aves; Casuariiformes; Dromaiidae. The record is from RNAcentral.